UAUCUCCUGCUGUACUCGAUAGUGUGCUGGGUGUUUCCUGAACCUGUAUUUACCCCGGGGGCGAACUUCAGUAAUGGCGUGCAUGCCCGUUUUAUACAGGAAGCCCAAUUUUCCGAUCUUGUCCCCACUUGAACUUUCGGUUCAAGGACGAAGGCACACGUCGGCACAAGCGGGAGAUGC
This 180-nucleotide non-coding RNA is filed under the name Methylococcaceae bacterium. RNAcentral describes it as "6S RNA". It matches the Rfam family "6S / SsrS RNA". Rfam says of the family: E. coli 6S RNA was the first non coding RNA to be sequenced, but its function was unknown until recently. It consists of 184 nucleotides that fold into an extended hairpin structure with a large single-stranded internal bulge. Lineage: Bacteria; Pseudomonadati; Pseudomonadota; Gammaproteobacteria; Methylococcales; Methylococcaceae. The record is from RNAcentral.